Non-coding RNA from Acanthosepion pharaonis, 102 nucleotides. The record is from the annotation of a GenBank genome assembly. NCBI's taxonomy places the organism in Eukaryota, Metazoa, Mollusca, Cephalopoda, Sepiida, Sepiidae.
UAUCAAAGAUGAAACAUUGGUUCUUGUAUGAUCACUGAAGUUAAGCAAUGUCAAGCCUUGUUAGUACCUAGAUGGGUGACUGCUUGGGAAUACCAGGUGCUA